GACGAACGCUGGCGGCGUGCCUAAUACACGCAAGUUGAGCGCUGAAGGUUGGUACUUGUACCAACUGGAUGAGCAGCGAACGGGUGAGUAACGCGUGGGGAAUCUGCCUUUGAGCGGGGGACAACAUUUGGAAACGAAUGCUAAUACCGCAUAAAAACUUUAAACACAAGUUUUAAGUUUGAAAGAUGCAAUUGCAUCACUCAAAGAUGAUCCCGCGUUGUAUUAGCUAGUUGGUGAGGUAAAGGCUCACCAAGGCAAUGAUACAUAGCCGACCUGAGAGGGUGAUCGGCCACAUUGGGACUGAGACACGGCCCAAACUCCUACGGGAGGCAGCAGUAGGGAAUCUUCGGCAAUGGACGAAAGUCUGACCGAGCAACGCCGCGUGAGUGAAGAAGGGUUUCGGAUCGUAAAACUCUGUUGGUAGAGAAGAACGUUGGUGAGAGUGGAAAGCUCAUCAAGUGACGGUAACUACCCAGAAAGGGACGGCUAACUACGUG
This 497-nucleotide ribosomal RNA is filed under the name uncultured bacterium. RNAcentral's name for it is "partial 16S ribosomal RNA". It matches the Rfam family "Bacterial small subunit ribosomal RNA", at positions 28 to 507 of the family's 1533-position model. The record is from RNAcentral.